Molecule: ribosomal RNA, 596 nt
Filed under: Ophiostoma montium
Lineage: Eukaryota; Fungi; Ascomycota; Sordariomycetes; Ophiostomatales; Ophiostomataceae
Description: eukaryotic LSU rRNA
Rfam family: Eukaryotic large subunit ribosomal RNA
Source: RNAcentral
CAAGGUUGACCUCGGAUCAGGUAGGACUACCCGCUGAACUUAAGCAUAUCAAUAAGCGGAGGAAAAGAAACCAACAGGGAUUGCCCCAGUAACGGCGAGUGAAGCGGCAACAGCUCAAAUUUGAAAUCUGGCCUUCGGGUCCGAGUUGUAAUUUGGAGAGGAUGCUUCUGGCGCGGCGCCGUCCGAGUUCCUUGGAACAGGACGCCAUAGAGGGUGAGAGCCCCGUACGGGCGGACGCCUAGCCUUUGUGAAGCUCCUUCGACGAGUCGAGUAGUUUGGGAAUGCUGCUCAAAAUGGGAGGUAAAUUUCUUCUAAAGCUAAAUACCGGCCAGAGACCGAUAGCGCACAAGUAGAGUGAUCGAAAGAUGAAAAGCACUUUGAAAAGAGGGUUAAAAAGUACGUGAAAUUGUUGAAAGGGAAGCGCCUGUGACCAGACUUGCUGCCCGCGGAUCAUCCGGCGUUCUUCGCCGGUGCACUCCGCGGGCGGCAGGCCAGCAUCGGUUUUCCUGGGGGGUCAAAGGUCGCGGGAACGUGGCUCCUUCGGGAGUGUUAUAGCCCGCGGCGUCAUGCCUCUGGGGGGACCGAGGACCGCGCUU